UCGGGAAUUUUGGGCAAUGGGCGAAAGCCUGACCCAGCAACGCCGCGUGAAGGAUGAAGUAUUUCGGUAUGUAAACUUCGAAAGAAUAGGAAGAAUAAAUGACGGUACUAUUUAUAAGGUCCGGUUAACUACGUGCCAGCAGCCGCGGUAAUACGUAGGGACCAAGCGUUGUUCGGAUUUACUGGGCGUAAAGGGCGCGUAGGCGGCAAUUCAAGUCAUCUGUGAAAUCUCCGGGCUUAACUCGGAACGGUCAGAUGAUACUGCUUUGCUAGAGUGCAGAAGGGGCAAUCGGAAUUCUUGGUGUAGCGGUGAAAUGCGUAGAUAUCAAGAGGAACACCUGAGGUGAAGACGGGUUGCUGGGCUGACACUGACGCUGAGGCGCGAAAGCCAGGGGAGCAAACGGGAUUAGAUACCCAUGUAGUCCCUGAGCGGGCUGGCAAGGCGCAU
This 447-nucleotide ribosomal RNA is filed under the name uncultured bacterium. RNAcentral describes it as "bacterial SSU rRNA". It matches the Rfam family "Bacterial small subunit ribosomal RNA", at positions 355 to 825 of the family's 1533-position model. The record is from RNAcentral.